UUGCUGAAAAUCACAAAGAUGGGGGAAGGGAAUAAGGGCAAAAGUUCUAUUAAUUAAAUACAUUUAUUUAUUAUUAGAAAAUAUUUUCCUCAGAAAUGUUUUUUAGUGAAGGCUAAAAAUUUAAAAUCAUGUUUUUUCAGAGAUCUACAUGGAAACCGGAAAAUGUGAUACAAAACCGGGAGUCUCUGGUAAACCAGAAGAGUUGACAGCUAUGGUUACAUGCAUUAGAAUUAUAUAUUUACAACUUUACCAUACUGUUACGGGCCAUGAGAUUCUAAACUUUUUAAAGCUAUUUUUAAACACUACACCUUACGUCUGUGAAGAUUACCCACUUUACAAUAGAAAGGUUUUCAAUUAUAAACCGGAUAUACAAUUAAGUCUUGCCGAACGCAUGGUUUACAUGAUUAAUACAUGGCGCGUAUGGCAAAAUCCCAUUCCGCAUAGUUAACUUUCUAUGGAAAAAAUGUGUUAGGUUAUAAUUCAGAUUAAGAAAGAAUGUCCAAUUUAAAUAUACUCAAAUAUUGUUACAAUUAAAAGGGGAAAGAGGAACACGUGUUAAUUGAAAGGGUUUUUGUUACUGCUUAAUUAAGUUUUUGAUAUACUUAUUUUCUAAAAAACGAUUGGUGAUUUUGCUUGAUAUAAUGACUGGCGCAACUCUAAGUUUUGAAGCAAAGAGUGCAGACCUUUCAAUGCCUCUAAUGAAAUGUUUUCUUCUUUAUUCAGCUGGAUCUAUCACGUGUGCAUAAUCAGAUAGUUCCUCUGAUUUUUUUUUACCAUUCCUUUAAUAAGAUCAUCCAGUUCUUCAUUCAUGAUUUUUCGAUAAAUUCUUUGACUUCUUCAGUAUUUGAAAAUACUUCGCCACCAACUGAAUUUUCAAUUUGUACAAUUUCUCUGGCGUCAUUUUCGAUCAAUGCAAAUCUUUUAAAAUUGUUGGCAACUUCGGGCCGGAGAUGAUGCCAUUAAGCAUGCAGUGUUGAUGAGGAUCCGAUGAACUGCGUAUAAAUGAAAUUAUAACGUUGGACAAAUUAAACAGAAACAACUAAAAUAACGCAAAUAAUACGAAAUCGCGUUCCUCAAAUUCGCGCUUGGUAAGGGUUUACUGUAUUAAUAGCUAGAAAGUGCAAUAAAAUUUCAUUUUGGAAAGAAUUAUUUGAAAAAUUUUGGAAAACUAUUUACAUUCUACAAUUGUAUAAUGAUGAGUUGAAUUUAAGCUUGACUCGAACAAUAAACCAACCUUGUUAUAUAAUUCAUAAACUGGAUUUUAAAAAUAUUUAUGCUUCCUUUUAAUUGCAGAAGGAUAAUAAUUAUACAAUUCCUGAGUGGGCAUUGUUAUAUUGGGAUAAAUUCAUUGAAUUUGCCGACAUCAGUUACUUCCUGCAUUUUCAAUCUAGACUACAGCAAAGACUGAGAGCAGGCCCGAUUUUAAAUUUAUUUCUAAAGCGCAUGAAGGAGAAAAUGGAAGGAAAACACGGAUCCAAAAAGGUGUAUGUAUAUUCUGGACAUGGAAGUAAUAUAGCUGCUAUUCAGUGUGCUCUACAGAUGUACGAUAUGAAACAUGCGCCUCAUGCAGCGACCAUAGUAGCUGAACUGUAUAGAGAAAAGGAGUGGAGAUGGUUCCAUUCGAUUUCUUUUCUUCAAUUCCUCUCAUCCCGAAACUGUUAUCGAAAAUCCAUACAUAUUCCUGCUGCAAGGCUGUAGCGAAUUCUGUCCUCUGUGGUUCUAUGAAGAUUUAAUCCAAGAUAUAGUUCCUAAAGAUUGGAAAAAGGAAUGUAUGAGUGAGUGGCAAGGGAUUUCAAAAGAAAUCAUACCACCUCAGUUCGGUGAAUUCAUGUUUCAAGAGAAAUCAUCAUCAUCUGGAAGCAUAUCAAAAAGUUGCAAUUCAUAUGCUUUAGUCUUAUUAUCUGUAUUUGUUAUGUUAGUUUUUAAUAUUGUGUAAUAAAGCGUAAAUAAUUUUUAA
This 1957-nucleotide long non-coding RNA is filed under the name Stegodyphus dumicola. RNAcentral's name for it is "uncharacterized LOC118199551". Lineage: Eukaryota; Metazoa; Arthropoda; Arachnida; Araneae; Eresidae. The record is from RNAcentral.